Molecule: ribosomal RNA, 483 nt
Filed under: uncultured Glomeromycotina
Lineage: Eukaryota; Fungi; Glomeromycota
Description: SSU rRNA
Rfam family: Eukaryotic small subunit ribosomal RNA
Source: RNAcentral
AGCGUAUAUUAAAGUUGUUGCAGUUAAAAAGCUCGUAGUUGAAUUUCGGGAUCAAUACGUCGGUCGUGCUUCGGUACGUACUGGCGUANNUGAUUUCUCCCUUCUGACGAACCAUGAUGUCAUUAACUUGGUGUCAUGGGAAAUCAGGACUGUUACUUUGAAAAAAUUAGAGUGUUUAAAGCAGGCUCACGCUUGAAUACAUUAGCAUGGAAUAAUGAAAUAGGACGUUCGAUCCUAUUUUGUUGGUUUUUAGGAUCAACGUAAUGAUUAAUAAGGAUAGUUGGGGGCAUUAGUAUUCAAUUGUCAGAGGUGAAAUUCUUGGAUUUAUUGAAGACUAACUACUGCGAAAGCAUUUGCCAAGGAUGUUUUCAUUAAUCAAGAACGAAAGUUAGGGGAUCGAAGACGAUCAGAUACCGUCGUAGUCUUAACCAUAAACUAUGCCGACUAGGGAUCGGAUGAUGUUAAUUUUUUAAUGACUCAUUC